AUUGAACGCUGGCGGCAGGCCUAACACAUGCAAGUCGAACGAGUGGCGGAGGGGUGAGAAAUGUCUGGGAAACUGCCUGAUGGAGGGGGAAAACUACUGGAAACGGUAGCUAAUACCGCAUACCAUCAGAUGUGCCCAGAUGGGCUUAGCUUGUGGGUGGGGUAACGGCGCACCAGGGCGACGAUCCCUAGCUGGGCUGAGAGGAUGACCAGCCACACUGGAACUUGGACACGGUCCAGACUCCUACGGGAGGCAGCAGUGGCGAAUGUUGGACAAUGGGCGCGAGUCUUGUGCAGCCAUGCCGCGUGUAUGAAGAAGGCCUUCGGGUUGUAAAGUACUUUCAGCGGGGAGGCGUUACCCGCAGAAGAAGCACCGGCUAACUCCGUGCCAGCAGCCGCGGUAAUUC
This 406-nucleotide ribosomal RNA is filed under the name uncultured bacterium. Its description in RNAcentral is "partial 16S ribosomal RNA". It matches the Rfam family "Bacterial small subunit ribosomal RNA", at positions 30 to 526 of the family's 1533-position model. The record is from RNAcentral.